CAACGCCAUGUUGGUCUCCGUGACUUGACUCAUUGUUUUCAUCAGCGUUACUACGGACCUGACAGGAGUGGCUUACGUAAAACGCCCGUGCGCCCUUGGAGACGCUUCAUUCCGAUCUUUUGCGCUGACGCGUUUUUGGAUGUUACGCGCGGACUGUGCACGCAUCAUCCCCGUGACUCGGCGUUUUAAAGGAGUACUACUUGUAAAUAUAACUUUGAAAGUGGGUGGUGGUGUGGGGGGGGGAGGAGAGAGGGCUCGCUUGUUUGUUUGCGCGUGUGUGUGCGUGUGUGUUUUCCCCUCGUCCUAUGUGCAACAAAAUGUCAGAAGUUCGCCUUUCUAACGCGAGCCCGACGGUGGAGAGGGUGGACGUGCGUCAGCCGGACGCCCGCCAGACCGUCGGUCUGCAAGAACCUUUUCGGCAGGCCCGAACCGGAGGAGAUACGGCGUGAUUUGGCGGCUUCCCAUACGGGCAGGUGUGAAGGAUUUCAAGGAAACGUACAACUUCGAUCCGGUCGCCGACAGGCCGCUUUCUCCGAUUCACAACAACAACAACAAUUACGACUGGCAGAGAGAACAGCGACCCCCCGGAGUUUUACGUCAGGCAGCCGCACCGCGGGAGCCGGCGGCCGCGGGGAGACGUCCGGGACGGCCGACGGGACGCCGGGCAGAGCAGCGGCGGCGGCGGCGGCGGCGAGCGGCGGGCGGCUCCGCCGGACCGAGGCGGCUCGAGGAAAAGAGCAUCGGCUUCAGGAUCCUGCUCCAGCGAGUCUAUGAGUAAAAAGUCAAAAGAUGACGGUGACGAUGAGGAAGAUCCCGGUGCAGCGGGUCAGGCGCUUGAAGAGGAGGAGGAGGAGGAGGAGGAGCGCGUGCAGUGAGAAAAACGGUGCUAUAGCUUAGAAAUCUACUCCACUGUUUACGAAAGACAUUUACAAUGGAUCACGACACUCACGUUUUCAACGUGUGAAGUACUGACCACCGGCCGUUGCCAUGGACGCCAAGUGGACUUUUGUGUGUCAUCAUCCGCGACACAAUCGUCCCGUACGCGGCAGUUACACGUCAUCAGCCCUUUAAACUUGUAUUUUGUUUCCUUUCCCCUCCCCUCCCCUUUUUUUUUUUUUUAAUCUUCCACAACCCCUUUGUGCUUUGACUGUUUCCCCUUGGUGCGCGCGAGCGCGUGCGUGCGUGUGCGCGCGAGCGUGUGUCUGUAUUGGGGACAUUGAGCACGAGCAACCGCUUUUUCAAUUGCACCAUUCAAACAGGCUGUUUCCUCUCCGCGUCCCGCAGCGCGUGGAGGCCCGUCGCUGGUGGAAUACUGUAGUCCUUUUCUCAUCGUCUGACAGCUGGGAACGUAUAAAUUGGCCAAAAGCAGUCUUUGGCCAAUGGAAAGGCGGAGGGGAGGCUGCAGGAGCACUGAAUAUGUACACUAUCAAGUUUUGGCACUCAAUUUUUUUUUUUUUAAUCAAAUUGCCUCAGAAGCAGCAGACAAAUGUAGCAGUAUGCAAAUGAGCAAAUGUGUUGCUCAUUUUUUCUUUUUUAUCUACUACCUAUGUUUCAGAUGUAGCACAUAACAAAAAAAGCAUACUAAUGCUUUUUAUACUUUUUGUUAAAUGUAUUUGGAUACGUGUGAAUUUUGACUCGAGAAGUUGCAGUGCAAUUUCCAACAGAGAUAUUAUUUUUGUGGUCAUAUUGUAUCAUUCAUUCAGGUAAUUGAUGUAAGUUAAAAAUGCAGAUUUCAGAAGUCAGGGUUGUGUGGAAACAAAACGUCUUCACUUUUUCUAUGGCUUUAUUUGUCCCAGUGUUCUAUUUUUUUUUUUUUUUUUUGAAGGCUCAGAUGGCCACACUGUAAGUCGAGGCUCUAUCUAACUGGGAACAGCCAUGAAAGAUAAAGUUUACAUGCAAGUAUGGGCCCCCUCCCAUUACACUUUUUAUUUUGCAAUUUUUUUAUUUUUUUUACCAAAGUUAUUGUCUUAUGUUGGGGGGAGGGAGGGGUGGCAAAACUGCUGAGCAAUAUCCAACCAAAUUUUAACAUUCGCUACUAAUCCUAAGAAUUAGCGUUUUUUUUUAAUUGGUUAAAUCCAUAUUUUUGUGGCCUUGGUGGCUCCACAAUCCGCCCCAUUUCAUAAGUGUAUCCCACUUCAACAUAGAUUAAAUAUGUUAAAAUCACUGCUACUUAUUAUGCAAAUAUGUGAAUCAAAGAGUUGUAUUUGUGGUGUAGAAUUCAUGUCAAACAUGUAAUUGCACUUUUUCUUUUUUUUAAUUUCUCGUUUUGGAGGGCAGAAAAACAAAGUGACACUGCCUCAUCUGGUGUGAAACUUUGAAGUGUACCUGUGUCCCCCCCCUUUUUUUUUUUUUUAAUUUUAUUUUUUUUAAAAACACUGAAAUUAUACUAACUUAUUUAUGUUGAGCUUUUCUUGUGGAUAGCUUCCCAAAGCAGCAUUUUUGUAAAUAUCUAUUUUCAAUAUUGUUAAGAGAAAUAAAGAGUUGCAACUGAGCAAACUGAGCCUAAUAAUCAAUUUUAUAUCCUGUGUUUUUUUUUUUUUUUUUUAAACUUUCUUUACCGUUUCUGCAGUGGGCAAGUUGAUUAAAAAGCAACGCUGGAGUAAUCUAUGCAUGUGCUCACUGUUUUUGACUGGAAGGCACACAACCACUCCACCUUCAACAAACAAUCCUUCGAUUUAAAGUGAUCCACCCACGCAACUGGCAGACAGCAACAAUAAGCACUAUGAUCACAUGGAUGUUUAUGUAAGCAAUAAACACUAACGGAGAUACACCACGUUAUUAAAGGGGGUUAGUGAGUUCAGUCUUGGGAAUGAUACCGUAUUCGUUAUUACCAUCAUUCAUCAGAAGUUGUAUAGGCCUCCUAUCUACAUCCGAUUAAUAGUUUAAUCCCAGGAGCCUCACAACUAAAUGCACCGUACUUUGCG
Molecule: long non-coding RNA, 2924 nt
Organism: Gasterosteus aculeatus aculeatus (three-spined stickleback)
Lineage: Eukaryota; Metazoa; Chordata; Actinopteri; Perciformes; Gasterosteidae
Source: Ensembl